RNAcentral lists this ribosomal RNA (765 nucleotides) under uncultured crenarchaeote. RNAcentral describes it as "bacterial SSU rRNA". It matches the Rfam family "Archaeal small subunit ribosomal RNA", at positions 102 to 850 of the family's 1478-position model. The record is from RNAcentral. Lineage: Archaea; Thermoproteati; Thermoproteota.
AGUCAACCUGCCCUAAAGACACUGACAACCCCGGGUAACUGGGAUUAAUCCGUGAUAGGUCAUCUCAUCUGGAAGGAGAGAUGGCUUAAAGGGGUGCGAGAGCUUCUUUCUUGUACUCGCUUUAGGAUGGGACUGCGGCCGAUCAGGCUGUUGGUGGGGUAAUGGCCCACCAAACCUGUUACCGGUACGGGCCUUGAGAGAGGGGGCCCGGAGAUGGACACUGAGAGAAGGGUCCAGGUCCUACGGGGCGCAGCAGGCGCGAAACCUUCGCAAUGCGCGAAAGCGUGACGAGGUUAAUCCGAGUGGUCCCCGCUGAGGGGAUCUUUUGUUGGCUCUAAAACGGCCAGUGAAUAAGGGGAGGGCAAGUCUGGUGUCAGCCGCCGCGGUAAUACCAGCUCCUCGAGUGGUCGGGGCGAUUAUUGGGCCUAAAGCAUCCGUAGCCUGUUCUGUAGGUCCUCUGUUAAAUCCAACGGCUUAACCGUUGGCCCGCAGAGGAUACCGCAGGACUAGGAGGCGGGAGAGGUGGACGGUACUCCACGUGUAGGGGUAAAAUCCUUUGAUCCGUGGAAGACCACCAGUGGCGAAGGCGGUCCACCAGAACGCGCUCGACGGUGAGGGAUGAAAGCUGGGGGAGCGAACCGGAUUAGAUACCCGGGUAGUCCCAGCCGUAAACGAUGCAAGCUAGAUGAUCCGGUCGCAAAUCGCGAUCGGAGUGUCGCAGGGAAGCCGUUAAGCUUGCCGCCUGGGGAGUACGGUCGCAAGACU